ACAGGUGGAGGAGAAGGACAGCAGAGCACACAUUUACUCCCAAGUUGCCUUAUGACACCUGACCAAGAAGGGACUUCCUGACCUGUGAGGGGAAUUCCAUUGACUAACAGUGAAGUUUCCAUCAAGCUAACUCCCCUGUUCCGGCUCAGCAGCUGCAAGAGAUAUGCAUUUUACGCUGGAUGUGGGAUAAUCAUAAGUCACUGCCUCUUUUCCUGAAGUGCUGUAGGUCUUUACUUCACAAGAAAACAUCCUGGGGGUGCCUCAGCCUAGAGGGCCCAAUUCUCAAAACCACUGAAACUGCACUAGUGACCAGCAAAUCAUUGGUGUGCCUGUGGGACAUCCAUGAACACAUGGAAAAAAAUGAGCCUAUGUGGGAGGAAACUGAGACACUCACCUGAGGAUGCCUUGAACUACCAUAUGUACACGACCAGAUACACAGUAACACACGUGCAUACCCUCACUACUGGCCUGGUGCUUCUGCAGCAGAAUUUCUGUGCUACAGAACACAUGGUAAGUAUGCCCACUUGUAGCAGUCAUGGUACGUGCUCUGUGGGGUCCACUGUUCUGCUGGCUGUGCUCUUGCACAAACAAACUCAAAACAUCCUGAAGCAGAAUAGCAGUAUCACAUGCUGAGGGAUUGAUUUGGUCUAGCCUGACAGUCUGGAUAAUUUUAUUUACAUGUACACACAUACAUAUGCACGUACACAUACAAAUGCAUGCAUAUGACAUGCCAGUAUACACACAUAUAUAUUAUAAAGCAUAAUGAACAUAUUGUGCAAAUACAGCAUAUUCUGCAUAACUACAGAAACUUCUAUUCAACUCCGUUCCAAGGUUGAAACAGAGCAUGAUUUAAAUCCAUAAAAAAGGUACAUAACCUAAUCUUUAGUGAUAGCACAGUAAUUUCUGAUUACAUCUCUCAAACACCUUUCAGGAUUUUUUUUUAAACUCUAUUAAUUUUGCUUAUAGAAAACCAAUGUUCGUAAAAUGAAAAUAACCCAUACAAAUUUUUAAAAACGCUCCCUGCACAUUCAUGUCCGAGACUUAGAGGAAAGAAAAGCCAACAGGAAAAAAAAGGCACAAAUAGAAAAAAAGUCAUUGUAAUCCCACAAAGUAGACAAGAGAAAUUUUAUUACCUUUAGCUGAAAACAACUCUUCUUCUGGUUUAUCUGCUUGCCAUUUUUCUUUUUCUCAUCUUUGGAGAUAGUUCUCUUUCUAAAAGUGUGCAGAAAAAGAACAUCUUAACCACAUCAUCAUGAACUUUAUCACACGCUGAGUACACAGACUGUAUCAGCCUCAGCAGACAAUGAAACCCUAUAGCUUUUCAGCAGUGUCAUUAGGUUCAAAAACAAGACUAAAAUUCCACAAAUGAGACACGAAAGCACAUCCUGUUCAAUGCACAGCACUCAAAUGAAUAAUGAUUUUAUUAAAAAUUGUAAAUAAAUCCCCUCUCCAAUCUCAGUAGACAUUUUUUCGGGGAUUUUCUUGCAGGAAAAAAAUGCAUAAGUAAAGACUAUGCAGUGACAAGAUUUCAACUACUCUUUUCAUUUUGCAUCUAUGAGUUGGGUUUGGUAUGUGAAGUGCCAAAACAGAGAAUUUCUAGGCAAUUCACUAAGUUGAACUUAAAAAAGUUGAGAAGUUAUCAGCUGAUAGCUA
Long non-coding RNA from Ficedula albicollis (Collared flycatcher), 1653 nucleotides. The record is from Ensembl. NCBI's taxonomy places the organism in Eukaryota, Metazoa, Chordata, Aves, Passeriformes, Muscicapidae.